GCAAACGUCGUAAACGUAAACGCGUCAUCGUUUUACUAGAUGGCGGUGGAUGGCAGUGAAUUUCUAACUGAGACGACACAAAUACAUUUACAUAAAAGUCUGGAUUUCACCCAUGUAACUACAAACUACCGCUGUUUCCUAUUGAACACGAUUGAAUUUUACCUUACAAAAAGUGCAUUUGGUGUUUACAAUUCCACUAUCAAAAGUAGUAUUUAUUAAGUAAUUAUCUGACUAUCGUAGUCUUUAAACAAAGGAUUCGUAGAUAGAAUUAGUUUUUCCUACUUGCACAAUGGUUAGUAAGCGGCGUUGAUGCUCACAACGUUGGUGUAGAUUGGUUAUAUUCACACACUAUUCUUCUUGUUCAACCUGCAAACAGACCUGAAACUAGGACAUACUCAGAUUAUGAAAGUGUCAAUGAGUGCAUGGAAGGCGUAUGUAAAAUAUACGAAGAGUAUCUAAAGAGGCAAAAUCCAAACACACC
Long non-coding RNA from Phymastichus coffea, 481 nucleotides. RefSeq lists it as uncharacterized. Lineage: Eukaryota; Metazoa; Arthropoda; Insecta; Hymenoptera; Eulophidae. The record is from RefSeq and is a predicted model, not a curated record. The transcript is spliced from 5 exons.